RNAcentral lists this ribosomal RNA (434 nucleotides) under uncultured bacterium. RNAcentral's name for it is "partial 16S ribosomal RNA". It matches the Rfam family "Bacterial small subunit ribosomal RNA", at positions 29 to 507 of the family's 1533-position model. The record is from RNAcentral.
AGCGAACGCUGGCGGCAGGCCUAACACAUGCAAGUCGAACGAACCUUUCGUGCUUAGUGGCGGUCGUGUGAGUACCACGUGGUAACUUGCCCUUAGGUUCGGUACACCUCAGUUUAACUUGUCCUAAUACCGCUUGUGCUCUUCCGGGGUAAGAUCUACUGCUUCUAGAGCGGCCUGCGUCUGAUUCGCUAGUUGGUUGUGGUAAUGGCUCACCAAGGCGACGUUCAGUAGCUGGUCCGAGAGGAUGAUCAGCCACAUUGGGACUGAGACACGGACCAAACUCCUACGGGAGGGAGGAGUGGGGAAUCUUGCGCAAUGGGCGAAAGCCUGACGCAGCCAUGCCGGGUGAAUGAUGAAGGUCGUAGGAUUGUAAAAUUCUUUGACCGGGGACGAUAAUGACGGUACCCGGAGAAGAAGCCCCGGCUAACUUCGUG